RNAcentral lists this ribosomal RNA (93 nucleotides) under Clostridium sp. Lineage: Bacteria; Bacillati; Bacillota; Clostridia; Eubacteriales; Clostridiaceae. RNAcentral also lists the same sequence under 1 other name. The record is from RNAcentral.
ACACUCCUUCCCAUUCCGAACAGGAAAGUUAAGCUCUACAGCGUCAAUGGUACUGCACGGGUGACUGUGUGGGAGAGUAGAACGUUGCCAGGU